UCCGGUUUGUCACCGGCAGUCUGAAGUGAGUCCCCAACUUAAUGCUGGCAACACUUCACGGGGGUUGCGCUCGUUGCGGGACUUAACCCAACAUCUCACGACACGAGCUGACGACAGCCAUGCAGCAUCUGUGGUGCACCCUCGAAGGUCACACGUUUCCGUGCGCUUGCAGCACCAUGUCAAGUCCAGGUAAGGUUCUUCGCGUUGCAUCGAAUUAAAGAACAUGCUCCGCUGCUUGUGCGGGCCCCCGUCAAUUCGAAGCAACGCGAAGAACCUUAUCCAAGGCUUGACAUGCACGGAUUAGCACCCUGAAAGGGGUGUGACACCCGCAAGGGUGGAACGUGCACAGGUGCUGCAUGGCUGUCGUCAGCU
Molecule: unclassified non-coding RNA, 372 nt
Filed under: uncultured Rubrobacterales bacterium
Lineage: Bacteria; Bacillati; Actinomycetota; Rubrobacteria; Rubrobacterales
Description: contains 16S-23S intergenic spacer region
Rfam family: Bacterial small subunit ribosomal RNA (bases 251-372)
Source: RNAcentral